GUAGGUGGCAAGCGUUGUCCGGAAUUAUUGGGCGUAAAGCGCGCGCAGGCGGUUUUUUAAGUCUGAUGUGAAAGCCCACGGCUCAACCGUGGAGGGUCAUUGGAAACUGGAGAACUUGAGUACAGAAGAGGAAAGCGGAAUUCCACGUGUAGCGGUGAAAUGCGUAGAGAUGUGGAGGAACACCAGUGGCGAAGGCGGCUUUCUGGUCUGUAACUGACGCUGAGGCGCGAAAGCGUGGGGGGCAAACAGGGAUUAGAUACCCUGGUAGUCCACGCCGUAAACGAUGAGUGCUAAGUGUUAGGGGGGUUUUCCGCCCCCUUAGUGCUGCAGCUAACGCAUUAAGCACUCCGCCUGGGGAGUACGGCCGCAAGGCUG
RNAcentral lists this ribosomal RNA (375 nucleotides) under uncultured organism. RNAcentral describes it as "partial 16S ribosomal RNA". It matches the Rfam family "Bacterial small subunit ribosomal RNA", at positions 527 to 896 of the family's 1533-position model. The record is from RNAcentral.